GCUUGUUCCAAAUGAAACAUGAGCUUCUUCAUCUCUUCAUAGCACGAGCUAGUUCUUCCCUCUGUGGCUGCUACUUCUGCUUCUUCCGCCGUUGCCGCUGCUGAGCCGUUGCGUCACAUAAUAUCUCUCUGUCAUCCCUUGCGUCGCAUGAGAUCCCUCCGUCGCCGCUCUCGUCGCAUCUACUCCCAUCGUCGCAGAGCUCUCUCUGUCGCCCCUCUCAUCGCAUCUGUUCCCUCUGACUCCUCUUCCAUCUAAGCUCAACCCGCUCUCUCAGUUCUUCUCGUAACCAUCUCAAAUUUCAGGUUUUCUCUGAAGAAAGGUGGAAAGGAUGGUGAUGAUGGUACUGAAGAAGUGACUAUUUUAACGUUGGUAGAGAAGUCCAUGUUGUCCACGCUUCAAAGAGCUUCAUUGGUAGAGAAGUCCUGGCAGAAGCCACCAGAGAGGAUGAGGGUUUUAUCUAAUGCACUAAAAACCAGCAACUAUGGUUCUGAACCUAUACUUCAAAAUUGUGGAAUUUCUAUAAGCACCAGCUUUACUCAAGUGGAUGGUCAUGUUCUGCUUUCAACAAGGGAAUUUUUAGCUCUCCAAGCAAGUUCUCCAACCAAACAAGCUCAGCUUCACAUGAUGUAAGGCUCCUAAAUUCUCUCUCUAUGAAAGCUAGUAGCUUAUAUUAGUAGCCUAUUUUCUACAAGAUCAAGAGAUAAGAUUAGACCCAAGGUAUAAACAAAAGCCUGAAACUGAAACUGACCUUCUAUCUCAAUAUUCAUUGCCCAAUUUGAAUAAGAGAAGGCAAACAAUUUCGUGAUCUCAUAUUUGUGAAGCUGCAACCCAUACUCUUUUGUCCCUUGAAGAUAGCUCAACACCUUUUCGAUAGCCUUCUAGUGAAUAAUAAGGGACAAUGUAUGAAUUGACUUCCCUUGCUCACUGCAAAGGAUAAUUUAGGGCGAGUGAUAGUGAAGUACUAUAAUGAUCCAAUCGCAGUCCUUUAGAACUUUGGAUCUUCGGAUUUUUUAAACCUGUAGACAUCAAAUAAAGAGAAGAAAUCAUAGGAUUAGGCUUUGGACUUGUCCUCCCAUACCAAGUACGG
This is a long non-coding RNA of Arachis stenosperma, 1087 nucleotides long. RefSeq lists it as uncharacterized. Lineage: Eukaryota; Viridiplantae; Streptophyta; Magnoliopsida; Fabales; Fabaceae. The transcript is spliced from 4 exons. The record is from RefSeq and is a predicted model, not a curated record.